This is a long non-coding RNA of Capsicum annuum, 2996 nucleotides long. RefSeq lists it as uncharacterized. The transcript has 3 exons. Lineage: Eukaryota; Viridiplantae; Streptophyta; Magnoliopsida; Solanales; Solanaceae. The record is from RefSeq and is a predicted model, not a curated record.
CAAGCUGACCCGGGCCCAAUACCCUUCACCCCUUUUUCUUUAUCUUCAAACCAUCGACAAAACACCACGCACAACAGCCAAACUCGAUAAACAGUAACUCACAAACAACAAUAAUUCAACCAUGCCCGACCCGAUUUCGGCCUAGACACCCAGCUGCUCCCUUUCCCCUUCGAUUCGUACGGAUCGCGUGACCCUCCACGCGGAUUCGUACGGUCGAAGGACCUCAAAUCCUCUAGAAAACAGCCUAGGUGUCCUCCCCCAACGUUAAAAUCCGUUAUUUUGGAAUAAAAUUGUACGAAUUAGUACGUGUGAGUUCGAUUUCAAUUGGUUGGGGAAGAAUUUUGUUUUCCCAAAACCCAAAUUCCUUUGAAAAUUCAAAAAAAAUCAAUACAGGAUUAGGGGAAAUCGCGGUUAUCACGUAAUAUCUCACUUGGAAACUUCUGAAAUUGCCCCCGAUUCCAUAUUUUUCUACAUCGUUCAAGGUUGAGAAGGACCCCCCAUUCAUCCGAAAUUUUAGGUUGGGACAAACUGAGAAAGAAAAAUAAAAGGAAAAAAGGGUCUUCGAGAAAAGGAGAACAUACAUUUUUCUUUCAGAAAAAAAUUUCAGAUUUUUCUUUGGGAAUUCCUGAGCUAAUCAAAGUUUCGAAUUGAUGUGAUGAUGUUUUUCCGGUGGUGUUAGAAUCUAAUAGAGUGCAAAGUCUCGUUUCGCUGCCCAAGAACCGGUUAGUGCUAUUCAUCCUUUCUCAUAUUGUUGCGAUGCAAUAGUGGUAGUAUUAGUGAUUUCGAUUAAUAUGUUGUAUGCUGUGGAUGUUUCUUGUUAGAUUAGAGGCUUUGAAAGUCGUAGGCUGUGAUGAUAUUUGAUUUUUUUCGUAAUAGCCUUUUCUCCGCUGUUUUAUUCCUACUCUUAUUUCCACUCGGGCAACGAGGCGUGCUAGCCCGUAUCUGAAUUUUUUUGGGGUAACCCCGGAAUCGAACAUGUAACCAUCUCUAAGGGAAGUUCAUUUUGUCUCGUUUCUAAGUGAAUACAGAUUUUUACCUUCUCUUGAUGUGGUAAGUCUGUGGAAUUCUUUUCACCCGAGAUAACAACAUCCUCUUUUAUGAAACCAUUUUUAGUUUUCAAUGGACGGUUGUUUUCUGGAAAUUGAAUUCCUCAGUUUAUGCGUUAGGCUGCCACCACGUCACUUAUGCCAAAGACUGAGGCUUUAUGGAAUGGUUUUCAUUGUAGAUGACCCUAUUCGUCUCAAUGCUUUCUUUUUCGCUCUAAAUCAGCAAACCUUUUCUGUAUGAGUGUUUUUGUAUAUGAAAAUAAGUGAAUUUAUGUUUAUGUUUCGGUUGUCUUAAGUUGUUCUUGGUGGUUGUGUUCCAAAGCAAUGAACCUGAUAAUGGAAAACAAUUCAGCUGUGCUGGAUUAAGUCUGCCAUUGCAUUCUCUUGAUGAUCUCAUUUAGGAUAGUGUAGAAUUUUACUUGAUUUACUCUUUGCAAAAUGAUGAAUUAUGGGUUCCGGUCUGCUCUCUUUUCCUCGCUGCACCUAUUCUGCACGUAGGAUCCUAUGUGUUGUUGCAGUUUGUAAGAAGUUGUUUUGACUGCCUCGUCGCUUUUUUGCAUGGCAGAACAGACUAUGUUUCUAGUGUGAAUUGUUGUGUUUCAAUUAGGAUGGUUUGAGUUAUUUGAACAUGCCUAUUCCUAUCAUAGAAUUAACUUAUUUGUGAUUGAAGAUCGUGAUAAGUUUACUCCUAAAUAUACCUUUAUGUGAAGUCAAGUUUCUCUCUAAUAGAAGUUCGAUUUUAAUUUGUCAAAAGGGUAAGAUAAAAGACUUUAUUUUCUUGUGUUUUCUUUGAGAUAUCUUGCUUUUCGGAGCAUUUUAGAUUAUUUUCUAUUUUUUCCAACAUUAAUAGCAUCAGUUUCUCUUUUAUCAGGUUCUAAUCCUUACCCUUUUCUUUACAUGUACCACUUGCCUCGAGUCCAAAAAUGGAUUCAAUCUCGCUUUGCGUUUCUUCAUGGGCCAUUGGGGCCCACCAUUUCUAUCAAAUUAACUCCGAGAGUCAAUUGCAUGGCAUAUGGAUACAAGAAGAUGGAAGGAUGCGCCUGAAGUAUGUAUUUAAAUUGUUGUUUUUUGCUGUUUAAGUUUGGUCUUUGAGACAAUAUCAUGUCAUCGAGAUUAUCGGGCAUCAUUGCACACCAACAAAAUUUAUUUGAAAAAGAAAUUACUAAAUGCUGUGGCUGAGGAAUUAAAGCCAAUAGUUCAACAGAAACUUGAGCAGCUAAACAGAAAAAGCACAUAUCAUGUGCAUCAUCAAAAUAAUCUUUUAGGAUUCUCAGGGGAAUUUUCUCUUGCCAAUAAGCAAAGCUUUAAGGCUUGGGGGACAAAUUAGAUAGCAGCACCUGUUCGAGAAUUUGGGUCUCAAGUUCCAACAACCACACAAUUUUUGCUUGUGAAACCAGUAGAUGAGCAUAUCCGCCGUUUGUAAGUCUCUUUAAUAAGGACUACUCUGUAAAGGACAUCAUCAUGGUUGACCAUAUGAGGAAGAUGAAGAACAACGCCAUUGUCUGCAAUGUUGGUCACUUGACAGCGAAAUCGACAUGCAUGGUCUUGAGACCUUUCCUGGUGUGAAGAGGAUCUCAAUCAAACCUCAAACCUACAGAUGGGUCUUCCCAGACACCAACAAUGGCAUCGUUGUCUUGGCCGAGGGUCAUCUCAUGAACUUGGGAUGUGCCACCGGACACCCCAGUUUUGGUGGUGAUGCGGCUAGUAGACCUGUUUCUCCCAUGGAUGCAAGGAAAUCACAUGAUGAUAAUGAUCCUAAUGACAUUCUUUGAUUUCGUUGUAUUUGUGUUGGAUAUUCAAUUAUGAUGAUGUAAUUGUGUGGUUGGAGUGGAUCUUAGAAUAUUGAAGUUUUUGUGUAUAAAUUUGAUUUUAGAGUUUGAAGAUACUAGUUAAUGUUGAAAAUUUGGAGUUUGAAAAUGUUAAUGUUAAAAAUUUAAUUUUGAAGUUUAA